This 460-nucleotide ribosomal RNA is filed under the name uncultured bacterium. RNAcentral's name for it is "partial 16S ribosomal RNA". It matches the Rfam family "Bacterial small subunit ribosomal RNA", at positions 338 to 795 of the family's 1533-position model. The record is from RNAcentral.
CCUACGGGAGGCAGCAGUGAGGAAUAUUGGUCAAUGGGCGCGAGCCUGAACCAGCCAAGUAGCGUGAAGGAUGACUGCCCUACGGGUUGUAAACUUCUUUUAUACAGGAAUAAACUGAGACACGUGUACCUUUCUGUAUGUACUUUAUGAAUAAGGAUCGGCUAACUCCGUGCCAGCAGCCGCGGUAAUACGGAGGAUUCGAGCGUUAUCCGGAUUGAUUGGGUUUAAAGGGUGCGUAGAUGGGGUGUUAAGUCAGUGGUGAAAGUUUGCGGCUAAACCGUAAAAUUGCAAUUGAUACUGGCAGCCUUGAGUGCAGUUGAGGUAGGCGGAAUGCGUGGUGUAGCGGUGAAAUGCUUAGAGAUCACGAAGAACUCCGAUUGCGAAGGCAGCUUACUAAGCUGCCACUGACAUUGAGGCUCGAAAGUGUGGGUAGCAAACAGGAUUAGAUACCCGAGUAGUC